CUAUUGCUUAUCCCCUUACGGUAGAUUGCAUUGAAUCCAAAUAUGGUAAUAUCGCCGUACUUUUACUUUCAUUUUGAUAAGUUUUUACACGUUGUUGACAAGUAAAAUUAUGAGAAAUGCAGUUAAUGAUUACAACAUGGAAUCCAUCCUUAAACAGGAAGCAUAGCAGUUAUACGUUUCCAUGUGAACCGGUUCAUUACCCCUGGCAUCUAUAUAUGGAUACGCCAAUUAGUGUAUGAAUGUAGAAAUGCACGUGCAGUAUGAAAUAAGCAUAGGUUUUAACACACGAAUGUGUACAUACAUGUACACAUAAUUUAUACAUGUGUGCGACAUUAAACUUUCAUCUGUUUUUGACGGUUAAAUUUAGCAGUUAAGUUAUUAAGUAAUUUUGAUAUUUGACAUUUAAACAUUUUAAGUUUACCGACUGUGAAGUUUGAAGUUUAUACAGUGCAUGUCGGGGGAAAAUGGGAUACUGAAGUUUUCUGUAAUGCUUCACCUCAAAUAGCGUUGUUCGAUUUUUACAGGUUCUUAUGUUUUGAAACAUCUAAACGUCAAAUGUGUUGUCAAAAUAAGCUGACAUACACUUCUUAAGCUAUGAAAACAUCAUGCAGCUUCAUGCAAAUUUUUUAUUCAUUAUACCAUACCCUAAUUAAAGACACCCUCAAUAAAUUUUGAAUUUCA
Mytilus californianus (California mussel) is the source of this 681-nucleotide long non-coding RNA. RefSeq lists it as uncharacterized. The transcript is spliced from 2 exons. The record is from RefSeq and is a predicted model, not a curated record. NCBI's taxonomy places the organism in Eukaryota, Metazoa, Mollusca, Bivalvia, Mytilida, Mytilidae.